Mytilus californianus (California mussel) is the source of this 6194-nucleotide long non-coding RNA. RefSeq lists it as uncharacterized. Lineage: Eukaryota; Metazoa; Mollusca; Bivalvia; Mytilida; Mytilidae. The transcript has 4 exons. The record is from RefSeq and is a predicted model, not a curated record.
AUGGGGUUCAGAGCUGUUUACUCCCAUCUGGUUUUCACCUUAACCAGCCUUACACUUGAAGACUCUGAAGAUCCGAUCCCGAACUGGCGAAUUAAGCAUCCUGAGAAUUUAUAUGACCUCAGUAACACUGCGUCAGACGGCUGUUUCGAUUACUUCUCAAACCUAACUACUGGACAAUUCAUAUGUUUAAUACAUACAGCAAAGAAUUUUGAAAUUUACAAUUUAAAAGUUAAGAAAGGAAGUUCCUCAUUUGACAAAUGGAUUGACAUUGCAACUGUUUGGCUUUCUCACUUUACAAAAACUGCAUUGAAUGGAAAAGCUAUAUGGGCGCUCUUUAACAGAAGACAAAAAUAUUUAAGGAAUUGCAAAAGUGCUUCAAUGCCAGAAAUGAUACAAAAGUUAAAGAAAAACUUAUAAGUUUUCUAAAUGACAAACUUGUUCUACCGGAAGAAAAGAAAGAAUCGUUUCAAAAUGAAAUUACUAAAGCUACAACAGACACAUCUUCUACCUGUGACUGUGUAAACAUUAAAGUGACGUCCAAUGAUACAUGUAGUGUUGAUUAUGCAAGAAUUGUACAAAGAAACAGACAUUUAGCGAAGAAUGUAUCAAAACAGGCAACAAUUUUAAAGUCACAUAGUGCCAAAAUAAAUUCAAUUAAGUUGCAAAACGAUAAUUUGAAAGCUGAACUAAGCAAAAAGAAAAAAAGGUUAAGUGGAGUUGGCGAGAAUGUAAUUUCGCAAAUUAAUAAAUUAAAAAAAAAGAGCCAAGAUCUUUCACAAAAAUCAAAAGAGCUGAAGUCAUUAAAAUUGACAUCUACCCAUCAACGAAAGCAGCUACUGACGAUGAAAAAAGAAAUUGGCCGUUUAUCAAAUGUUGUGAGCGAAUCACUUGAUCUUGCAGAUGAAAAGGAAAAUAAAACAUCAGAAGUUGAGCAAAAAUUGCAUUCGGUUAAUAAACUUUUAAAAAGUACUAAAAAGAAAGUCCAAAGGAGAAACCAAAAUAUAUCGGGACUGAAGUCUAAACUGCACGAAGUAUACGAAAAAUUUGAAACAGACACAGAAUCAAUGAAACUGUACUACAAUGGUAUAGUUUAAAACCUCAAAAAUCAAAAUCAGCUUAAUAGUGAAAUGCAAAAAAUGAAAAUUGAAGAAAUGAAAAAUUUAGAAACACAAUCUGGUGGAAAAUAUAAAGGAGAGGUCAGAUUAUUAUAUUAUGAUCUUCUAACAAAAGGUGUUUCUGCAAAUACAAUCCAGUCGGUUGUACGUACUGUAUUGGAAAAUAUGACGGAAUAUGAUACUACAAAGCUUAAACUACCUAGUCGAUCAACUGCGCAACGUAUGGUUUCCGAGGCAGGGGAGUUGGUAAAAAUCAGAACUGCAUAUGAAUUGUCUAAAGAAAAAACAAUGCUGUGUCAUCAGUCUGAUGGAACGACAAAAAAUCUUAUACAGUGGGGUGCACAUGCAGUAAAGCUCUUACCAAAUGACGAUCCAAAUAAUCCUAAAUUUUUUACUUUAACUGUAAGUCCAGUAAGUUCAGGAAAAGCUGAUGAUACUGUUCAGCAACUACAAGAUCAGUUAGAGGAAUCGAGUGGAUUAGCAAAUAAAUUAGGGUUAGACAAUGAUGAGAAUAGUUUUUCAAUAUCCCGUAUUGGUGCCAGAAUGUCUGAUCGGGUUGCAAACGAAAAAAGUGUUUCCAAACUCAUUAUGGAAAAAAAGACAAUGAAAAUCUAUAUACAUUUACCUGUGCUGCUCACAAAAUUAACAACAUGGCAUCAGCUAUAACCGAUGCAAGUGCAAAUGCUCUUUAUGUGAUAGACAAAAAGAUGAGAGGGAUGCACGGUGCUAAAAAACACAUCUAUGAAUGUAAUGAACUCCUUUGUGAACAUGCAAGAAAAGAGUACGGUCUAGGUGUAGAUUUUAAGGCCUAUACAUUGUGUAAUGACCAGAACUCUGGUUCUGAUUUGUUUCCACCAAUUGUAGGAAGUCGAUAUUUAAUAUUUUUACAAAAAGCAAUACCAACACUUUCUGCUCGAGAAAUUGUUUUAAUGUACUUGGAAGACAUAAAAGAUACUAAAGAAACCCCUGGACUUAACCGUUUAGAGUAUUCAGUACAGCAAUGUUAUUUAAAUACAACUAUGGUGACAGAGGAAAUAGCCUUUGCCUUAAUGUACUUCUAUGUUUGUUCACCUUUAAUGCAGAAAGCAAAAUCUACAAAGUCUCCUUUAGAGAUGAAUGGUUAUUAUGAAAUGACAGUAGCGAAAUUACAGGAAUGGAGUAUUGAUCCAAGCGGACUUAUAAAUGGAGAUGAUUUGUUGUGGGAAAACACAAAAGGACCGCAAGUUUACAUCCCGUUUAUGACAGAAAUUCACAAGAUGACAUCAGAAAACAGCAUCCUUGUUGAUACAUUGAAAGUGAUGGCAAAAGCUGGGAAAGAUAAACAGUCAGAGCUCAGACAUAAAUAAGUCUAAAUCUGCUUUUGACUCAUAGAGGUCUAAAUUUAAAGGUUUCAAGAUUUGCCUCCCUUUAAUUUAAGACAAAUUAUGACUUCAAUAAGUCAAUUAGUGUUAAGCAAGAAUUAUUUGACCUGAAUUAAAAAGUUGCAAAUAUUGACUCCUACAAGUUAAUAAGUUACCAAAAUUGGUCAACUUCAAGACCCAUGCAUAUUUAUAAAAAGGUCAUGCAUCUACAUGAAAUUAUGACAACAUUGAAAGUCAAUGAUUUGUCUUCUAAGGAAAAAUAUGCAUGAGAGCCUAAAAAAACGGAGAUUACGUUUAUUUUUACUUUACAAUGCAACCAUCUGUAAUCACACAAAAUGAGGAAAAUAAUUUAUGUUAAGUGAAAAUGUUCAAUUAAAUAAUUGAAUAUAGAUAACUCAGGUCCAUGUGAACUCUCAGACAGGUUAAGGGUGUCAUAGGUGGUGCACUUUGGCCACCAAUUAAAAUUUAGUCUUUUCAUAAACAUAAAUAGACCUAAACAAGUCUGUCAUUUUCUGACUUAAACAAGUCUGAAAAUGAAAGUACAUAUUUAUAAUAAAUACAUUUUUUGACUUAUGUAAGUCAAAAACAAUAAUCGACUUGUUUAUGUCUGAGCUCUGACUGAUAAACUUCACGAUCAUGCAGUUGAACACCUACCUGGUGGAGAGUAUGCACAGCCAACCCAAGAUAUGCUUAUGGCAGCACAAACUGUCGGUGAAGCAACAAAUGACCGAAUCGAGAGUAUGUUUGGAAUGUUGGACAGGCAAAUGAAACUAGCUCCAUCUUCAAACCGUAAAUGUUAACAGUCUUAUAUCUGCAAAGCAAGAUAAACCUGUACAGUGGUUAAAGACUUCAAAGCUCUCUAUUCAGAAUGUUUGCGAAAUAGCAAUGACAAAAGCAUCACUAAAACGUAAAAAAGAAGGAACACGAACAGAACAAAUCAAAAAGCAAUUUCUUGAAAAUAAAGAAGAGAGAGAACAAAAAAUAGCUAAACGAAGGAAGAUAAGACAAGAAAGAAAGCUUAGACUUGAUGAAAGUCUGAAAGAAGCUAAGCUUCACCUAAGCCGUAGAAAAAAAUCUGUUAACAACAUGAACAAGACACAACUGUUAAAGCAGGUUAAAAUAUGGAGAGCUUUAGCCGAGGUUCAGCAUGUGAAUUCUAAUGAUGUUUUGAAAAAUUUCAAUAAACUAAGUCCUACGGAACAGGUUCUUCAUCUCAAAACAAUCAUUAUAGCUAACAAACAAUUAAUAAUACAGGAAUGGGAAUCCUCUGAUGAAGAAACUUUGUCAAAUGUAAAAGGAGCUCAAAAACGACUCUUUCAAGAAAAUGAUGAGUGGAGUUCUUCAGAUGAAGAAACAUUGGAUAUGACAUGUGCUCUAGUUCAUUUGUAACUGUUUUAUUGUACUAGCUUAACUUUUUAGCUCACCUGGCCCGAAGGCGUCGUCGUCCGUCGUCGUUAGCUUUUUACAAAAAUCUUCUCUGAAACCACUGGGCCAAAUUUAACCAAACUUGGCCACAAUCAUCAUUAGGGUAUCUUGUUUAAAAAAUGUGUCCGAUGACCCCGCCAACCAACCAAGAUGGCUGCCAUGGCUAAAAAUAGAACAUAGGGGUAAAAUGUAGAUUUUGGCUUAUAUCUUAGAAACCAAAGCAUUUAGAGUAAAUCUGACAGCGGGUAAAACUGAUUAUCAGGUCAAGAUCUAUCUGCCCUGAAAUUUUCAGACAAAUCUGACAACCUGUUGUUGGGUUGCUGCCCCUGAAUUGGUAAUUUAAAGGAAAUUUUGCAGUUUUUAUACGACCGCAAAAAUUAAAAUUUUUUUGGUCGUAUAUUGGUAUGACGUUGGCGUCGUCGGCGUCGUCGUCGUCGUCGUCUGGCGUCGUCCGAAGACACAUUGGUUUUCGCACUCUAACUUAAGUUAAAGUGAAUGGAUCUCCAUGAAAUUUUACCAUAAGGUUCUAUACCACGAAAGGAAGGUUGGGAUUGAUUUUGGGGGUUAUGGUACCAACAGUUAAGGAAUUAGGGGCCAAAAAGGGGCCAAAAAUAAGCAUUUUUGUAACUUCCAGACAAUAACUUGUGUGUAAGUGUAUGGAUCUCUCUGACAUUAUACCACAAGGUUCCAUAUCACAAAGGGAAGGCUGUAAUUGAUUUUGGGGGUAAUUGCCUCAAAAUAUUAGGAAUUAGGGGCCAAAAAAGGAGCAAAAAACAAGCAUUUUUCUAGUUUCAUGACAAUAACUUGUGUGUAAGUGUAUGGAUCUUUCUGAAAUUGUACUACAAGGUUCCAUAUCACAAAGGGAAAGCUGGGUUUGAGUUUGGGGGUAAUUGCCCUAAACGUUUAGGAAUUUGGGGCCAAAAAGGGGCCAAAAAACGAGCAUUUUUCUAGUUUCCAGACAAUAACUUGUGUUCAAGUGUAUGGAUCUCUCUGAAAUUGUACUGCAAGGUACCAUACCACAAAGGGAAGGCUUGGAUUGAGUUUGGGGGUGAUGAAUCAUAAGGGGGGUUCAAAAAAUUUGGGGGGGGGAUUUUUUUUUUUUUUCUUUUUUUUUCUUUUUUUCCUUUUUUUUUUCAUUUAAAAUUUUCCAUUUUAAGUUGGUUAUUUCUGAUUUAUAUUUAAAAGCAAAUAAUAAUGAUAUGGUAGGAGAUACACACCAAACAGGAUGUGUAAAUUAUUAUAUAAUAAGUAUUGUGCAAUAGCAAGAAAUUUUCAAUUGCACAGUAUUGCACAAUAGCAAGAAAUCUUCAAUUGCACAGUAUUGCGCAAUAGCAAGAAAUCUUCAAUUGCACAGUAUUGCGCAAUAGCAAGAAAUAUCCAAUAGCACAAUAUUGCGCAAUAGCAAGAAAUUGUCAAUUGUACAGUAUUGCGCAAUAACAAGAAAUAUUCAAUUGCACAGUAUUGUGCAAAAGAAGAUACUUCGUAUAAAUUGCUUAUUUCUUGAUCAAUUUCAAUGGGGUUUUAUUCUUGAAUUCUUGGGGUUCUUUAAUAUGCUGAAUCUAACUGUGUAUUAAGUUUUUGGAUUUUGGGCCCCGUUUUUAAAUUGGUCCACAUUGAGGUCCAAAGGGUCCAAAAUUUAACUUUGUUUGAUUUCAUCAAAAAUUAAAUUAUUGGGGUUCUUUGAUAUGCCGAAUCUAACCGUGUAUUUAGAUUCUUCAUUUUUGGUUCCGUUUUCAAAUUGGUCUACAUUAGGGUCCAAAGGGUCCAAAAUUAAACUUAGUUUGAUUUUAACAAAAAUUGAAUUUUUAGGGUUCUUUGAUAUGCUGAAUCUAAACAUGUAUUUAGAUUUUUGAUUAUGGGCCCAGUUUUCAAGUUGGUCCAAAUCGGGGUCCAAAAUUAAACUUUGUUUGAUUUCAACAAAAAUUGAAUAUAUGGGGUUCUUUGAUAUGCUGAAUCUAACCAUGUAUUUAGAUUUUUGAUUUUUGGGCCCGUUAUCAACUUUGUCCACAUUGAGGUCAAAAGGGUCCAAAAUUAAACUUUUGUUUGAUUUCAUCAAAAAUUGAAUUCUUGGGGUUCUUUGAUAUGCUGAAUCUAACCAUGUAUUUAGAUUUUGGAUAUUGGACCAUAAUAGGUGAAUGUCCAAUUUAAAAUUUUUAAGUUCUUAGACUACAUUCAUUCUGUGUCAGAAACCUAUGCUGUGUCAAAUAUUUAAUCACAAUCCAAAUUCAGAGCUGUAUCAAGCUUGAAUGUUGUGUCCAUACUUGACCCAACUGUUCAGGGUUCCACCUCUGCG